Molecule: ribosomal RNA, 229 nt
Filed under: uncultured bacterium
Lineage: Bacteria
Description: partial 16S ribosomal RNA
Rfam family: Bacterial small subunit ribosomal RNA
Source: RNAcentral
CGUGUAGGCGGGUCGACAAGUUGGAUGUGAAAUCAAUCGGCUUAACCGGUUGGCUGCAUCCAAAACUGACGAUCUUGAGUGUCGGAGAGGAUAGUGGAAUUCCUAGUGUAGCGGUAAAAUGCGUUGAUAUUAGGAGGAACACCAGUGGCGAAGGCGACUAUCUGGACGACAACUGACGCUGAGGCGCGAAAGCGUGGGGAGCAAACAGGAUUAGAUACCCUGGUAGUCC